Molecule: ribosomal RNA, 301 nt
Filed under: uncultured bacterium
Lineage: Bacteria
Description: partial 16S ribosomal RNA
Rfam family: Bacterial small subunit ribosomal RNA
Source: RNAcentral
CAGUAGCCACGGUAAUACGUAGGUCCCGAGCGUUGUCCGGAUUUAUUGGGCGUAAAGCGAGCGCAGGCGGUUAGAUAAGUCUGAAGUUAAAGGCUGUGGCUUAACCAUAGUACGCUUUGGAAACUGUUUAACUUGAGUGCAAGAGGGGAGAGUGGAAUUCCAUGUGUAGCGGUGAAAUGCGUAGAUAUAUGGAGGAACACCGGUGGCGAAAGCGGCUCUCUGGCUUGUAACUGACGCUGAGGCUCGAAAGCGUGGGGCGCAAACAGGAUUAGAUACCCCUGUAGUCCCUGUCUCUUAUACA